GAUUGAACCGGUUUCAUCCGGUCUGAUCCGGUUUGAUCCGGUUUCAGCCGGUUUGAACCGGUUUCAGCUGGUUUGAUCCGGUUCCAUCCGGUUUGAUCCGGUCUGAACCGGUUUCAUCCGGUCUGUUUCGGUUUGAACCGGUUUGAGCCGGUUUGAUCCGGUUUCAGCCGGUUUCAACCGGUUUCAGCUGGUUUGAUCCGGUUCCAUCCGGUUUGAUCCGGUCUGAACCGGUUUGAUCCAGUUUGAACCAGUUUGAGCCAGUUUCAUCCGGUUCCAUCCGGUUUCAACCGGUUUCAGCUGGUUUGAUCCGGUUCCAUCCGGUUUGAUCCGGUCUGAACCGGUUUGAUCCGGUUUGAACCGGUUUGAGCCGGUUUCAUCCGGUCUGAUCCGGUUUGAACCGGUUUGAGCCGGUUUGAUCCGGUUUCAGCCGGUUUCAACCGGUUUCAGCUGGUUCCAUCCGGUUUGAUCCGGUCUGAACCGGUUUCAUCCGGUCUGAUCCGGUUUGAACCGGUUUGAGCCGGUUUGAUCCGGUUUCAGCCGGUUUCAACCGGUUUCAGCUGGUUUGAUCCGGUUCCAUCCGGUUUGAUCCGGUUCCAUCCGGUUUGAUCCGGUCUGAACCGGUUUGAUCCGGUUUGAACCAGUUUGAGCCGGUUUCAUCCGGUUCCAUCCGGUUUGAUCCGGUCUGAACCGGUUUCAUCCGGUCUGAUCCGGUUUGAACCGGUUUGAGCCGGUUUGAACCCGUUUCAGCCGGUUUGAACCGGUUUCAGCUGGUUUGAUCCGGUUCCAUCCGGUUUGAUCCGGUUCCAUCCGGUUUGAUCCGGUCUGAACCGGAAUGAUCCGGUUUGAACCAGUUUGAACCAGUUUCAUCUGGUUCCAUCCGGUUUGAUCCGGUCUGAACUGGUUUCAUCCGGUCUGAUACGGUUUGAACCGGUUUGAGCCGGUUUGAUCCGGUUUCAGCCGGUUUCAACCGGUUUCAGCUGGUUUGAUCCGGUUCCAUCCGGUUUGAUCCGGUCUAAACCGGUUCGAUCCGGUUUGAACCAGUUUGAGCCGGUUUGAUCCGGUUCCAUCCGAUUUGA
Molecule: long non-coding RNA, 1076 nt
Filed under: Macaca mulatta (Rhesus monkey)
Lineage: Eukaryota; Metazoa; Chordata; Mammalia; Primates; Cercopithecidae
Description: lncRNA (ENSMMUG00000057512.1)
Source: RNAcentral